This 220-nucleotide long non-coding RNA is filed under the name Elaeis guineensis (African oil palm). RNAcentral's name for it is "long non-coding RNA (EGUI_LNC048261)". Lineage: Eukaryota; Viridiplantae; Streptophyta; Magnoliopsida; Arecales; Arecaceae. The record is from RNAcentral.
ACCAACUCUUCCUUUGAUUCAUAUCUCUAAUUGACCUGACCCAAGGUAGGUACGGGAUGAAUAUAGAUGUAGAAUUUUUAUUUAUAGGAUGGGUAUGGAUAUGGCCUACUCGACCAAUUUCGGAUCCAUUGGCAUCCCUACAAAUUUCAUGAGAUAUUUAUUUACUAGUAAUUAGGUAGUCAUAGUUGAAAUGCUAUAAUUGAAUUAUAGUUUCAAAAGC